Molecule: ribosomal RNA, 584 nt
Filed under: uncultured bacterium
Lineage: Bacteria
Description: bacterial SSU rRNA
Rfam family: Bacterial small subunit ribosomal RNA
Source: RNAcentral
CCUACGGGAGGCAGCAGUGGGGAAUAUUGGACAAUGGGCGAAAGCCUGAUCCAGCAAUGCCGCGUGAGUGAUGAAGGCCUUAGGGUUGUAAAGCUCUUUUACCAGGGAUGAUAAUGACAGUACCUGGAGAAUAAGCUCCGGCUAACUCCGUGCCAGCAGCCGCGGUAAUACGGAGGGAGCUAGCGUUGUUCGGAAUUACUGGGCGUAAAGCGUGCGUAGGCGGUUAUUCAAGUCAGAGGUGAAAGCCUGGAGCUCAACUCCAGAACUGCCUUUGAAACUAGAUAACUAGAAUCUUGGAGAGGUGAGUGGAAUUCCGAGUGUAGAGGUGAAAUUCGUAGAUAUUCGGAAGAACACCAGUGGCGAAGGCGACUCACUGGACAAGUAUUGACGCUGAGGCACGAAAGCGCGGGGAGCAAACAGGAUUAGAUACCCUGGUAGUCCACGCCGUAAACGAUGAUAACUAUCUGUUCGGGAUCUACGAUCUUGAGUGGAGCAGCUAACGCAUUAAGUUAUCCGCCUGGGGAGUACGGUCGCAAGNUUAAAACUANAGAUGACGNNGNGAGNGCGAGACGACACGAGGAGAG